UCUUUCUUUUCUCAUUCUUUUGUUUUCUUCUUCCUUCUCUUUCUCAUUUCUCACCUACUAUUCUUCCUCACCUCCUUCGUUUUCUUUGAGAGGAAGAGAGAAACAAGCACCUUCAGAAACCCAAAUUGAAAACCAUCUCAAAUCAAAUAUACAAUUAAAGCUCACCCAAAUUCAGCCAAGAACAGCAAUCAGAAUAACCCAGAAAAAUCAACAAUUCCCAACGUUUGAUAACCAAACGGCUAAGACCAAAAAUCAACACAAAAUCCUCCACAAUUACGACCUAGAAUCAAAUACCCACAAGAAUUUAAGGCUUACUAAUAAAAUCAACACAAUAAAACCCAACUAUAAUCAAUAAUUAAGAACAAAUUUAUACCUUUGAAGAACCCAUUUUUCUGCAAUUUCUCUCACAGCUCUGUCUCUCUCUACCCAUUAAUUUGAGAGGAAGAGUGAGACACAGAGACGGAGAGCAGGAGAGGGAGAGAGGGCAAGAUUUUGAGAGAAACAGAGGGUAGAGAAAGAGACGGAGCUAUGAGAGAAAUUGAAGAAAAAUGAGUUCUUCAAAGGUCGUAAUUGCGGAGGAUGUUGGCUGAUUUAUGAAAGGAAAAUUUGGGUCUUAAGUUUAGUGGUCUAAUCGAUCCGUAUCUCCUUGAGCUGCUCCUCUACUUGGCUAGAUGCCUAGAUGCUUCUUGCUCCUCCAUGUGCUUCCCUUUCAAACUAUUUGCUCUUGUUGAAGCAGAUGUGGCCAGAUUGAAGCAGAAAGUUGCAGAACUCCACCAUCAACUAAAUCAGCAGAGGCAGCAUCACUAUGGUUCCCUCUCUGAUGCAUGUGACCUUAAUCAACAUGGCCAAAAUAAUAAUCCCCAACAGUGAGUUUGAGAAAUCAUGCUAUAUUUUCUUAACGAUCAACUUAUGGUGUCAAGUUAUAAGUAGUUGCAUGUGUUAUUUCCUUAAUUAAGGUCAGAGGAACUGUUUCUCAUGCAACAAGGCCAAGGAGUAGAGCCUUAUUAGGAAAUUUUCAGAUUUAGUUUUCAGUGUCUUUAAUCUUUAGCCAAAAAGGAUGUUUUGGGAAUUGUAUAAAUCUGGAAUGGGACAGAUUCUUUAGCUUUAAUUGUUGGGAUUUUAUGUUUUGUAAUACGAUUUGGGAUUUUUUGCUUGAGUUUAAUUAGAGCCGAAGGUAAAUUAGGAACCGAGUUGGGAAAUAGCUUGUAAUAAAGGCAUAAGGUUUUUUUAUUGUUGGUUAUGAAUUUGUUUGGAGUUUGGUGCUCUUUGAUAGCCAUAGGCCCAUAAGUUUGGUUCA
Molecule: non-coding RNA, 1297 nt
Organism: Corylus avellana
Lineage: Eukaryota; Viridiplantae; Streptophyta; Magnoliopsida; Fagales; Betulaceae
Source: RefSeq, a predicted model, not a curated record